CCAAUAGCGUAUAUUAAAGUUGUUGCAGUUAAAAAGCUCGUCGUUGAAUUUCGGGGUCAGUAGGUUGGUCAUGCCACUGGUAUGUACUGGUCUCACUGAUUCCUCCUUCCUGAUGAGCCGUAAUGCCAUUAAUUUGGUGUUGCGAGGAAUCUGGACUGUUACUUUGAAAAAAUUAGAGUGUUUAAAGCAGGCUAACGCUUGAAUACAUUAGCAUGGAAUAAUGAAAUAGGACGUUCGAUCUUAUUUUGUUGGUUUCUAGAUUGACGUAAUGAUUAAUAGGGAUAGUUGGGGGCAUUAGUAUUCAAUUGUCAGAGGUGAAAUUCUUGGAUUUAUUGAAGACUAACUACUGCGAAAGCAUUUGCCAAGGAUGUUUUCAUUAAUCAAGAACGAAAGUUAGGGGAUCGAAGACGAUCAGAUACCGUCGUAGUCUUAACCAUAAACUAUGCCGACUAGGGAUCGGAUGAUGUUAAUUUUUUAAUGACUCAUUCGGCGCCUUACG
Molecule: ribosomal RNA, 499 nt
Filed under: uncultured Glomeromycotina
Lineage: Eukaryota; Fungi; Glomeromycota
Description: partial small subunit ribosomal RNA
Rfam family: Eukaryotic small subunit ribosomal RNA
Source: RNAcentral